RNA transcript from Mandrillus leucophaeus (drill), 1836 nucleotides. It is a transcript of the gene named dnaJ homolog subfamily C member 14 pseudogene, with no coding region annotated. NCBI's taxonomy places the organism in Eukaryota, Metazoa, Chordata, Mammalia, Primates, Cercopithecidae. The transcript is spliced from 2 exons. The record is from RefSeq and is a predicted model, not a curated record.
AUGGCCCAGAAGCACCCCAGAGAAAGAGAGUUGUGUAGAGCCCACCAGAGUGGUGGUGCCUCCCUCAGGGCUUUAGGACCCUCCGUGGACCCUGAAACACCUUCAUUCUCAGGACUUACAGACUCAGCAGGGACUGCUCCUAAUGGCACCCGCUGCCUCACAGAGCACUCUGGUCCUAAGUACACACAGCACCCAAACCCAGCUCAUUGGUUGGACCCAAGACAUGGCCCCCCAAGGGGUCCAGGACCACCUAGAGAGGCAGAGGACCCUGACCAGAGUGAGACAUCUUCAGAAGAAGAGUCAGGAGUGGACCAGGAACUCUUAAAAGAAAACGAGGCUGGGUACCAGGAGGAUGGGAACCCUUCUUUUCUUUCCAUUCCAUCUGCUUGCAGCUGCCAGGGAACACCUAGAAUUCCAGAAGGGCCUUACUCUGAGGGAGGAAAUGGCUCUUCUAGCAACUCUUGCCACCUCUAUGCCUCUCCAGCCUUGGGGGAAGAUGAAGAGUUGGAAGAGGAAUAUGAUGAUGAAGAAUCUCUUAAGUUCCCCAGUGAUUUUUCACGUGUGUCCAGCGGAAAGAAAGCCCUAUUCCGGAGACAGCGGCACCACUUUCCAACGAAGGCGGAUACUCGGGAGGGUGGACGUAGGGAUCCCAGGUCCCCUGGUCAACAUCGACUGGGCCAGAAAUGAAGUCAGGCAGAUAAGCGCAGAGGCCUGGGAUUGUGGGGAGCUGAGGAACUAUGUCAACUUGGACAGGCAGGCUUUUCGUGGCUGAUUGAACUGCUGGUGUUGGUGGGAGAGUAUGUAGAAACUUUAAUUCAGUGGGGUUGGCUGGAGUUGCCUUGGGUCAAGCAGAAUACUAAUAGGCAGGGGAAUGCACCUGUAGCUACUGGGCGCUACUGCCAGCCUGAAGAGGAAGUGGUUCGACUCUUGACCUUGGCUGGGGUUCCUGAGGAUGAGUUAAACCCUUUCCAUGUACUAGGCUUUGAGGCCACAGCAUCAGACGCUGAACUGAAGAAGGCCUAUAGACAGCUGGCAGUGAUGGUUCAUCCCGACAAAAAUCAUCACCCCCGGGCUGAGGAGGCCUUCAAGGUUUUUCGCGCAGUUUGGGACAUUGUCAGCAAUGCUGAAAAGCAGAAGGAAUAUGAGAUGAAAGGAACGGCAAAGAAUCAGCUGAGCCGGUCAGUAAACGAAUUUCUGUCCAAGCUGCAAGAUGACCUCAAGGAGGCAGUGAAUACUUUGAUGUGUGGCUGAUGCCAAGGAAAGCAUAGGAGGUUUGAGGUGGACCAGGAACCUAAGAGUGCCAGAUACUAUGCUGCGUGUGAUAGGCUGCGUCCCGCUGAGGAAGGAGACUUUUGGGCAGAGUCAAGCUUGUUGGGCCUCAAGAUCACCUACUUAGCACUGAUGGAUGGAAAGGUGUAUGACAACACACAGUGGGCUGGAGGCCAGCGUCGUAGAUAUUUCCCCAGACCCACAGAGUCCCCUCACAUCUCUCAUUUGGUUCUCGGAUUCCAGGCACCAGAGGGCGGCAGAGAGCCACCCCGGACACCCCUCCUGCUGAUCUUCAGGAUUUCUUGAGUCAGAUCUUUCAAGUACACCGAGGGCAGACGCCCAGUGGGAACUUCUUUGCAGCUCCUCAGCCUGCCCCCGGAGCCACUGCAGCCUCUAAGCCCAACCGCACAGUACCCAAGGGAGAAACGAAACCGAAGCGGCGGACGAAAGUGAGGAGGCCCUUCCAACAUUGAAGGCCCCUUCUCUUUCCUCAAAACAAUGUCAGGGAGUGGAAAGGACUGUGUACAGCGCAGGAUGGAGUUUGAUUUCUCCCUCCUCCCCCAACAC